Molecule: long non-coding RNA, 1811 nt
Organism: Camelus dromedarius (Arabian camel)
Lineage: Eukaryota; Metazoa; Chordata; Mammalia; Artiodactyla; Camelidae
Exons: 5
Source: RefSeq, a predicted model, not a curated record
UCGCCGGCUCCUCUAUCUAUUUUGUGUCCAGCCGGGAGCCGAGCUCGAUGAUUCAUUGCCCCAAUUAGGGGCUUUCUCCUGCGCGCCAGGCUCGAGCCGUCUGAAGGGUCUCCUCAGGGACCCGCGGAAACCCAUCAGCCGCUGGAGCUGGUCUUUAAGUAAAGGUCAAGCAGGACGCGGGAGGACCCAGGCCAGGUACCUCUCCUGCACUGGCCUAACGGCACUCAUGGAGAGUUCCCGUUCCAGGAUGGGCACUGCCUGCCCCUGACGGAAUCUUAGGAGCCUGGGAUGGAGCUGGGCCAUGUGGGGGCUUGUCAGUACAGGAUUUCUGUGAAGGGGAAUGAGAUACUACGUGGAAGGACUGAGCCCAGGGCUGGGCUCACAAUCCCCAGACUGAAAGCUGGAGAUGCUUGGGGGUUCUGUCCACUUAUUCACAGAUGUGGCUCUCUCCCCCAUGCCUGGAACACUGCCUGGCACACAGUAGGUGCUCAACAAACAGUCUUCAAUUCAUGAAAGCCUAGAUUUAUGUCAUGAUCUCCCCAGCUUCCCAGAGAAAGAAAUCAAGAGAGGUUAAGGAACCUGCCCGAGGUCAGCCACCAGGCUAGCAGACUUCCGAGCCCUCGGGGCCAGCUUUUGUUCUAGAAUCUUCUUGAGGCCAGCACUGUGCCUACACUGAGGAGAAGGAUCCACAGAGCCCUCACAGAAGGUGAAGACCGAUGUCCUUACUUCCAAGCCCUCCUGACCAGUUGGGUGAUCUUGAAUGGGUCACGACCCCUCCCUGAGUCUGGGUGUUUCACCGGUAAUGUGGCAAUAACAGCACUUGCCUCUCUGGACAUUGAUGGCUGAACAAGACGCCCAGUGUGCUGGCCCCGCACAGGCUGGCACACAGUAAGUGCUCAGUUAACAGCGGCACACAGUAAGUGCUCAGUUAACAGCAGCACUCCGUUCCCUUGACUGUUCAGUGGCCACCAAGGUGACCCGAUCCACAGGCUAGGGAGGUGGUCAAUUUCUCUGGCAAUGGAAAACACAGCCCACGGAAGCCCUUUCCUCCUUGCAGCCUGACUGAGGGCCAGGGGAGACCCACAGCUGAGUGGUGUCAGCUCUCAGGGGGAAGGACACUUUCUAGGUGAGGUCACGGAACUCAAAGUCAUGCAUCCAGACUUCCAGCCAGCUCUGUCUAGUUUCCCCCGUGGAGUAUCGCUGUGGUCCGCAGGAAGACAGCAGGGUUCAGGAGCAUUUUGUAGGUGGAUGGAAACAUCCUGAUCUGUCCUUGGCUCUGCAGUAACAAGGAUCCCAGGGGCAGCUCAGUUUCCCAGCCUGGCCAGGUGUGGAUGGGCAGAGCGGGGACAAGGUGCUCCAGGUGCAGGGACAGAGGGACCAAAGAGACUAGGGGGCUCAGAGAAAGAAUCCUCCAGCCACCCCAGGGCAGAAAUCAGGUCCCUGACACCCAACUGCAGCCCAGGCCCCGCCCCAACCCCUUGCAAUCUGGGGCCGGCUGGAUCCAGGCCGUGGGGAACACAUCCUGGCCACAGGAGUCAAUGACAGGAAGUGCGAUGUGACCUUGGCUGGGUUUGGAGGCUGCCUCCGGCCAGGCUGUGCCUCUGGGUACUGUGGCCUCAAACUGCAGAGCCUUCUGGAGAGGUGGCAGGCCAUAGUCAGGGUGGGAGGCCCCUCGCCCCUGGCCGGGCUGGGCAGCAGGGUGUCCUCCCUUUGAACACUGUGCUCCCUGGCCCCCUGACACCCAUUUACUGAGCCCCCUCUGUCUGCUCAGCACUGGGUGGACACUAUUUGUAUAAAUAAAAUUCUGUUUU